CUGGAAAGAAGUCUGGCUCUUACCUUGAAGGCCAAGGACAGCCAAAUGCAAUAACAUAAUCAGAACUGGGUUUAAAAGAAUAAUUCUAGAACUAGAACGGAGACUGAGUUGGGUGGGGAAAGACUGAGAACAUGAACCAAGGGGGAAGACAGACAGCACGGGGUUUAGGGACAAGGUGACAGAACCCCAGAAGAGGAGGCCCGGUGGGAAGGGUGGGGUUGGGGGAGGGAUGAACAGAGAAGAGACUGGAGGGUUCGCUGGAGCAGAAGAUGAGAGCUCAGGGCAGCGGGUGAUGCUGCUGCCGAGAGCCAGGAACGGAGGAGGAGGGACGGGAGGUGGGGACAGGCCAUGGCUCCGGGAUGAAGCAAAGGGGUUCCCGGGUGUGCAGAUGCCUGGCCUUGACGAUCACACUGAGUAACAACCAAGGGGAGGGGAGCCUCCAGGGAACGGAGGGAGUAUGGGACAGAGGGAGGCAUUCUACGCCACAGAUGGAGGACGAUCCUUCCCGACUUUGCACCUGGAAGAUCACAGAGCCCAGGUGUGGGUGGAAUUUUUAAUCUAUGGCUCCUGGAGCUACCCAGGUGAGGUACCUCCCUGCACUGUCUCCAGUACAAGAGAUGGCUCUGGACACAAAACAUUCAGGCAACAAUAUCUGGGUACCUUCCUGAGCCUACAGAAACCAAAGAGAAAGAAAGCCUGGAAAUUAAAUGCACAAGAAAGAAAAGAAACUGUUUGA
RNAcentral lists this long non-coding RNA (736 nucleotides) under Fukomys damarensis (Damara mole-rat). RNAcentral describes it as "lncRNA (ENSFDAG00000029568.1)". The record is from RNAcentral. Lineage: Eukaryota; Metazoa; Chordata; Mammalia; Rodentia; Bathyergidae.